GGAAGGAUGGCCGAGCGGCCUAAGGCGCACGCCUGGAAAGUGUGUAUACUGUAAAAGGUAUCAGGGGUUCGAAUCCCCUUCCUUCCGCCA
RNAcentral lists this transfer RNA (90 nucleotides) under Rickettsiales bacterium. RNAcentral's name for it is "tRNA-Ser". It matches the Rfam family "tRNA". From Rfam's summary of the family: Transfer RNA (tRNA) molecules are approximately 80 nucleotides in length. Their secondary structure includes four short double-helical elements and three loops (D, anti-codon, and T loops). The record is from RNAcentral. Lineage: Bacteria; Pseudomonadati; Pseudomonadota; Alphaproteobacteria; Rickettsiales.